GGGGAUAUACUGGAUAGGCAAUUUUUCCUGUAAUGGUUUUUUGUUUAAAUGUUUUUUUCGCCUAAGGAUGGGUCUGCGGCAGAUUAGGUAGUUGGUUAGGUAAUGGCUUACCAAGCCUUUGAUCUGUACGGGUUGUGAGAGCAAGAGCCCGGAGAUGGAACCUGAGACAGGGUUCCAGGCCCUACGGGGCGCAGCAGGCGCGAAACCUCCGCAAUGUGAGAAAUCGCGACGGGGGGAUCCCAAGUGCCAUUCUUAACGGGAUGGCUUUUCAUUAGUGUAAAAAGCUUUUGGAAUAAGAGCUGGGCAAGACCGGUGCCAGCCGCCGCGGUAACACCGGCAGCUCUAGUGGUAGCAGUUUUUAUUGGGCCUAAAGCGUCCGUAGCCGGUUUAUUAAGUCUCUGGUGAAAUUCUGCAGCUUAACUGUGGGAAUUGCUGGAGAUACUAUUAGACUUGAGAUCGGGAGAGGUUAGAGGUACUCCCAGGGUAGAGGUGAAAUUCUGUAAUCCUGGGAGGACCACCUGUGGCGAAGGCGUCUAACUGGAACGAUUCUGACGGUGAGGGACGAAAGCUAGGGGCGCGAACCGGAUUAGAUACCCGGGUAGUCCUAGCCGUAAACGAUGCGGACUUGGUGUUGGGAUGGCUUUGAGCUGCUCCGGUGCCGAAGGGAAGCUGUUAAGUCCGCCGCCUGGGAAGNACGGUCGCCAAGACUGAAACUUAAAGGAAUUGGCGGUGGGAGCACCACAACGCGUGGAGCCUGCGGUUUNAAUUGGAAUUCAACGCCC
This 782-nucleotide ribosomal RNA is filed under the name uncultured methanogenic archaeon. Its description in RNAcentral is "bacterial SSU rRNA". It matches the Rfam family "Archaeal small subunit ribosomal RNA", at positions 143 to 920 of the family's 1478-position model. Lineage: Archaea; Methanobacteriati; Methanobacteriota. The record is from RNAcentral.